RNAcentral lists this microRNA precursor (89 nucleotides) under Marmota monax (woodchuck). The record is from RNAcentral. Lineage: Eukaryota; Metazoa; Chordata; Mammalia; Rodentia; Sciuridae.
AAUGGAACUGCUGGAAAAUAUGGUACGUUUCCUUUUAAAAGAAACUGUCUUCCAAAGUGUCUGUACCAUUUUGCAUUUCCAGAAGCAAU